GACGAACGCUGGCGGCGUGCCUAAUACAUGCAAGUAGAACGCUGAAGAGAGGAGCUUGCUCUUCUUGGAUGAGUUGCGAACGGGUGAGUAACGCGUAGGUAACCUGCCUUGUAGCGGGGGAUAACUAUUGGAAACGAUAGCUAAUACCGCAUAACAAUGGAUGACCCAUGUCAUUUAUUUGAAAGGGGCAAAUGCUCCACUACAAGAUGGACCUGCGUUGUAUUAGCUAGUAGGUGAGGUAACGGCUCACCUAGGCGACGAUACAUAGCCGACCUGAGAGGGUGAUCGGCCACACUGGGACUGAGACACGGCCCAGACUCCUACGGGAGGCAGCAGUAGGGAAUCUUCGGCAAUGGGGGCAACCCUGACCGAGCAACGCCGCGUGAGUGAAGAAGGUUUUCGGAUCGUAAAGCUCUGUUGUAAGUCAAGAACGAGUGUGAGAGUGGAAAGUUCACACUGUGACGGUAGCUUACCAGAAAGGGACGGCCAACUACGUG
RNAcentral lists this ribosomal RNA (497 nucleotides) under uncultured bacterium. RNAcentral's name for it is "partial 16S ribosomal RNA". It matches the Rfam family "Bacterial small subunit ribosomal RNA", at positions 28 to 507 of the family's 1533-position model. The record is from RNAcentral.